Molecule: ribosomal RNA, 466 nt
Filed under: uncultured bacterium
Lineage: Bacteria
Description: partial 16S ribosomal RNA
Rfam family: Bacterial small subunit ribosomal RNA
Source: RNAcentral
GACGAACGCUGGCGGCGUGCUUAACACAUGCAAGUCGAACGGAUAGGCCCUGCUUGCAGGGUACUCGAGUGGCGAACGGGUGAGUAACACGUGGGUGAUCUGCCCUGCACUUCGGGAUAAGCUUGGGAAACUGGGUCUAAUACCGGAUAGGAGCCAUCUUUAGUGUGGUGGUUGGAAAGUUUUUUCGGUGUAGGAUGAGCUCGCGGCCUAUCAGCUUGUUGGUGGGGUAAUGGCCUACCAAGGCGGCGACGGGUAGCCGGCCUGAGAGGGUGUACGGCCACAUUGGGACUGAGAUACGGCCCAGACUCCUACGGGAGGCAGCAGUGGGGAAUAUUGCACAAUGGGCGCAAGCCUGAUGCAGCGACGCCGCGUGGGGGAUGAAGGCCUUCGGGUUGUAAACUCCUUUCGCUAGGGACGAAGCUUUGUUGUGACGGUACCUAGAUAAGAAGCACCGGCUAACUACGUG